Molecule: ribosomal RNA, 465 nt
Filed under: uncultured bacterium
Lineage: Bacteria
Description: partial 16S ribosomal RNA
Rfam family: Bacterial small subunit ribosomal RNA
Source: RNAcentral
GAUGAACGCUUGCGGCGUGCUUAACACAUGCAAGUCGAACGGAAAGGCUCCUGCCUGCCGGGGUACUCGAGUGGCGAACGGGUGAGUAACACGUGGGUGAUCUGCCCUGCACUUCGGGAUAAACCUGGGAAACUGGGGCUAAUAUCGGAUAGGACGAUUGGUUGGAUGCGAUUGUGGAGAGUUUUUCGGUGUGGGAUUGGCUCGCGGCCUAUCAGCUUGUUGGUGGGGUAAUGGCCUACCAACGGGUCGACGGGUAGCCGGCCUGAGAGGGUGUACGGCCACCUUGGGACUGAGAUACGGAGCAGACUCCUACGGGCGGCAGCAGUGGGGAAUAUUGCACAAUGGGCGCAAGCCUGAUGCAGAGACGCCGCGUGGGGGAUGACGGCCUUCGGGUUGUAAACUCCUUUCGAUAGGGACGAAGCGAAAGUGACGGUACCUGGAGAAGAAGCACCGGCUAACUACGUG